RNAcentral lists this long non-coding RNA (745 nucleotides) under Monodelphis domestica (gray short-tailed opossum). RNAcentral describes it as "lncRNA (ENSMODG00000028559.2)". Lineage: Eukaryota; Metazoa; Chordata; Mammalia; Didelphimorphia; Didelphidae. The record is from RNAcentral.
CAAUGUUCUGGUUGGGUAAUGGGAUGCUCUGAGAAAUACAACAGAAGCUCCAGGCAGAUCUGAGAGAAUGACCAGAUAAGUCCUAAUUUUCCCUAUGAAGUUCUUUCUGAUCAUUUUUUUAUUUGGACUUUCAGGGAUUAACAAAAAUUUCAGCACUUUAAUAGAUGAGAAAACUGAACCACAGAGAGCUGAAGUCAAUUGCCCAAAGUCAUCUAAUGGAUAGCAGAGUCAAGACUAGAGGCCCUCAGUGACUCCCACCUCUUAGUUGAGGAUUCCUUCCUGUCUAUCAGUUGGUUGCCUACAAGUGACAUUCAAGUCAACUUACAUUUGUUGAACAUCUACCAAAUGCAGAGUGCUGAACUAGAUGGCAGGACAUAAUUUAACCAAGACACCAUAACUGUCCUCAGGAAGUAGACUUUUUAGUAGCAGAACAUGCACAAAUUGAAUUAUGUCAUAUAUGUGAUAAAAGUAUGAAAUGGAUGCAAAGUCAAAUUUUAAAUUUUAAUUAAUUUUGUUUUGUCAUUAACUUUUUUCUGGGAACAAAAUUUAUGUAGAAAUCUCUGUUUGUUGGCCAUACUUGCAUUCCAGUUUUGUCCAAAACCAAUAUUUAAAUAAGAUCUGAAGGAAAAGGUUAUUACUGACAUUAAAGCAAUAAUUACCAACAAGCAUUAAAGGCAACUAUCAUAAUGAUGAUGUAGAGUGAGUGCAUAAUAAAUAUUUGUUGGAUGGAUGAAUGAAUCUGGGA